CCGCACGCCGAAAGCCCAAGGUUUCCUGCGCAACGUUAAUCGGCGCAGGGUGAGUCGGCCCCUAAGGCAAGGCCGAAAGGCGUAGUCGAUGGGAAACAGGUUAAUAGUCCUGUACCUUGUCUAGAUGCGAUGGGGGAACGGAGAAAGUUAGGUCGGCCGGGUGUUGGAUGUCCCAGCUUAAGCGUGUAGGCGGGCUCUCUAGGUAAAUCCGGAGAGUCAACGCUGAGGCGUGAUGACGAGUGUGUCGCAAGACACACGAAGCGACUGAUACUCAGCUUCCAAGAAAAGCCUCUAAGCUUCAGUCUAGAUGAGACCGUACCAUAAACCGACACAGGUGGGCGAGGAGAGAAUCCUAAGGCGCUUGAGAGAACUCGGGUGAAGGAACUAGGCAAAAUAGCACCGUAACUUCGGGAGAAGGUGUACCCCCAGUACGUGAAGGAGCUUGCCUCCGGAGCGGAAGGGGGUCGCAGUGACCAGGUGGCCGCGACUGUUUAACAAAAACACAGCACUCUGCAAACACGAAAGUGGACGUAUAGGGUGUGACGCCUGCCCGGUGCUGGAAGGUUAAGUGAUGGGGUGCAAGCUCCUGAUCGAAGCCCCAGUAAACGGCGGCCGUAACUAUAACGGUCCUAAGGUAGCGAAAUUCCUUGUCGGGUAAGUUCCGACCUGCACGAAUGGCGUAACGAUGGCCAUACUGUCUCCAUCCGAGACUCAGUGAAAUUGAACUCGCUGUGAAGAUGCAGUGUACCCGCGGCUAGACGGAAAGACCCCGUGAACCUUUACUAUAGCUUUACACUGGACUUUGAACAGGCUUGUGUAGGAUAGGUGGGAGGCGAUGAAGCCGGGACGCUAGUCCUGGUGGAGCCGUCCUUGAAAUACCACCCUGGCGUGUUUGAGGUUCUAACCUAGACCCGUUAUCCGGGUUGGGGACAGUGUAUGGUGGGUAGUUUGACUGGGGCGGUCUCCUCCCAAAGAGUAACGGAGGAGCACAAAGGUACCCUCAGCGCGGUCGGAAAUCGCGCAUAGAGUGCAAAGGCAUAAGGGUGCUUAACUGCGAGACAGACACGUCGAGCAGGUACGAAAGUAGGUCUUAGUGAUCCGGUGGUUCUGUAUGGAAGGGCCAUCGCUCAACGGAUAAAAGGUACUCCGGGGAUAACAGGCUGAUACCGCCCAAGAGUUCAUAUCGACGGCGGUGUUUGGCACCUCGAUGUCGGCUCAUCACAUCCUGGGGCUGAAGCAGGUCCCAAGGGUAUGGCUGUUCGCCAUUUAAAGUGGUACGCGAGCUGGGUUCAGAACGUCGUGAGACAGUUCGGUCCCUAUCUACCGUGGGCGUUGGAGACUUGAAGGGUGCUGCUCUUAGUACGAGAGGACCGGAGUGGACGUACCUCUGGUGUUCCGGUUGUCACGCCAGUGGCAGUGCCGGGUAGCUAUGUACGGACGGGAUAACCGCUGAAAGCAUCUAAGCGGGAAACCCACCCUAAGAUGAGGUCUCCCUGGACCUUGAAGGUCCCUAAAGGUUCGUCGUAGACGACGACGUUGAUAGGCUGGGUGUGGAAGUGCAGUAAUGCAUGAAGCUAACCAGUACUAAUUGACCGUGAGGCUUGACUAU
Molecule: ribosomal RNA, 1609 nt
Filed under: soil metagenome
Description: bacterial LSU rRNA
Rfam family: Bacterial large subunit ribosomal RNA
Source: RNAcentral